GUCAGUGUGGCCGAGUGGUUAAGGCGUCAGACUCGAAAUCUGAUACAUUCGUGUGCACAGGUUCGAAUCCUGUCGCUGACG
Molecule: transfer RNA, 81 nt
Organism: Aspergillus aculeatus ATCC 16872
Lineage: Eukaryota; Fungi; Ascomycota; Eurotiomycetes; Eurotiales; Aspergillaceae
Rfam family: tRNA
About the family: Transfer RNA (tRNA) molecules are approximately 80 nucleotides in length. Their secondary structure includes four short double-helical elements and three loops (D, anti-codon, and T loops). Further hydrogen bonds mediate the characteristic L-shaped molecular structure. tRNAs have two regions of fundamental functional importance: the anti-codon, which is responsible for specific mRNA codon recognition, and the 3' end, to which the tRNAs corresponding amino acid is attached (by aminoacyl-tRNA synthetases). tRNAs cope with the degeneracy of the genetic code in two manners: having more than one tRNA (with a specific anti-codon) for a particular amino acid; and 'wobble' base-pairing, i.e. permitting non-standard base-pairing at the 3rd anti-codon position.
Source: Rfam